GCGGGCUGUCGUAGGGGCGUGACGUUUUCCGCCCUGAACGCUGCGGGCACCUCCCCGUCGCGAAGGGAAGAAAAACUCGCGUCCUGUGCAGACGCCCGCGGGGCGGGUGACUCGCGCGCGCGAGUAACAGUUGGCCCGACACGGCGCCUCGUCACCCUCGUCACCCGGGAGAGCCGCCGCGCGGAGGAGGGACGGGAGUGGAUGUGCCUCCAAACGGAGACGCAGGAACGGGGAGGAAAGUGCCGCGUGUCACCGAUAGGGAUGGAGCCUGAGGAGGAAAGACAGCUCCCACUGACAGACUAAAGCUUGGGGCGCGGCCGGAGGGAGCGGUUUCAGACUCUAAAUGCAGAUGUAGAAGGCGGAGUCAGCGACUUUGUGAGGCCUACAGCCCUGGAGAGGAGGGUGAGCAACUAGGUUGAAGGGACCUGGAUAACUGGAUGACCUGAAGGUCAUCUUACCCUCAACUCCCUACCUACUAGAGAAGCAAAUGUCUUUUGUUUGCAUCCCUUGUAUUUUUGAGUCUCUUGUGUUACAGCAGCUUUGCCUGUGCCUUAUCUUGGCCAGUGGCUGACCAGCUCAACCAGAAGUUUCUGAAUAAAGACAUUGAGACACUGUGAGAUGACUGUUAUUGGAGGCCGUGCUGCAGAAGCUCCCAAGCAUGCUCACUCAUGGUUAAAACCCGAAAAAGAAGAAUAGCCACUCAUGGAUGUGAUAUGUUAUAGAGUAUAAUAGUUUGCCUCCUGCUGUCUUGGCUGGCUACUCACCCAUUCUGUUUCUGGUUAAAACUCCAUCUUUGACAUCACUGCUUCCAUAAAUAAAGCCUUUCCUGAUUACUCA
This is a non-coding RNA of Microcebus murinus (gray mouse lemur), 837 nucleotides long. Lineage: Eukaryota; Metazoa; Chordata; Mammalia; Primates; Cheirogaleidae. The record is from RefSeq and is a predicted model, not a curated record.